GUUGCUAGGCAACAGGAAUCUUUCAGUCCCGUAUCGUGUUCCAGGACCACUACCACAUGUGCUGUCUGUCACUGGCUGAAACAUGCUUAUGCGGUGUGGGACUGUUCUUUCCAAAGGUGAAGUAUUUACCCAAGCCCUGCGCUGGACCCCAGGGGCUACAAGAAGUUGGACCUGUUCCUGCUCCGUAUAGGGAGAUGGAGAAUAAACAAGCAAACCUGCGUGUACGAUAACUUUGAUAGGCGGCACAGGGACACUCCCCAAGGAGGCGGGAAUUUGAGCUGGGGUCUGAACAGCAAGUGGGAACCAGCCAGGCAGAGAUCUGGGGCCAGAAAGUUCUGGCAGAGGGACAAAUGCAGGGGUGGAUUCACGGGACAAGAGAGGGACACUUGGGCUGCAGUGAAUGAAGUGGAGAGUGUAAGGUGGGAUCUGAGAAGUGAGUCAGGGUCAGACUUACCGAGCACUGUAGGCCAAAUAAAGGGUUUGAGUGUUAUUCUGAGUGUAACGAGAGGUCAGGGAACAGCUACACAAGGACAAAACCACUGGGACUUGCACGAGCAGGAUGAGGAAACCGAGGCUCCCAGGAAGGAGACCGCCUGCCCGCACUGAGGUGUUCUCACAGGAGACUGCGGACGACACUACCUCAUCCCGGCCUACUCUGCUCUCCUCCAGAACACUCCCAGGUAGGGACAACUCGGCCCAGGGUCGGGCUACUCGGGGCUGCUAGAGAUCUCAGCUGGGAUCCUGGCGUCUGGGGAAGGGCCGAGCUCUAAAAAUAACCUGCCCGCCUGAGCCUGAGCCGCCAGCAGGAGCCUGGAGAGCCACGACCGCCUGACUGUGGCAGAUGCCGGCAGCCCUGGCCUGGCCGCGGAGCCCCCUUCUCUGGCAGCUGGCCCCUGGGAUGGGCUGGCGGCAGGUGGCAGCCAGGAAUAUUUGACCCAGGCCCUCGGAGGCACCCAGUCCCCACAGGCGCACACAUACACGGGCCCCAGCCGGGGAUGGGCUGCCUGGAGUGUGGCUGGAGCUGCGGCUGAGCAGGGACAGUAGCCUGGGCUCCUGAAGUGGCCUCCCUGUGCCGGCUUCCCAUCCAGUCGGACAGUGACCAGCCUCGGGCACAGGUAAGGGGCCACUGGCCUGGGUGAGAGAUAGCUGUGGCCAGGGGCUGGGCAGGGGGGGCUCUGGGGGGGGCAGGGG
Molecule: long non-coding RNA, 1191 nt
Filed under: Fukomys damarensis (Damara mole-rat)
Lineage: Eukaryota; Metazoa; Chordata; Mammalia; Rodentia; Bathyergidae
Description: lncRNA (ENSFDAG00000032637.1)
Source: RNAcentral